AAGGUGGACGAUGACAACAUCGUCUCUCACAUCCUAGCCGGGCUAGAUGAAGACUUCGACCCGGUGGUGUCCGCCAUGUCUUCCCGGGUGGAGUCGGUGACUAUGGCCGAGUUGUUUUCAUAGCUGCUAAGCUUCAAAA
This 139-nucleotide small nucleolar RNA is filed under the name Triticum aestivum (bread wheat). RNAcentral describes it as "Small nucleolar RNA Z247". It matches the Rfam family "Small nucleolar RNA Z247". From Rfam's summary of the family: Z247 is a member of the C/D class of snoRNA which contain the C (UGAUGA) and D (CUGA) box motifs. Most of the members of the box C/D family function in directing site-specific 2'-O-methylation of substrate RNAs. RNAcentral also lists the same sequence under 1 other name. The record is from Rfam by way of RNAcentral. Lineage: Eukaryota; Viridiplantae; Streptophyta; Magnoliopsida; Poales; Poaceae.